AGAGUUUGAUCCUGGCUCAGGACGAACGCUGGCGGCGUGCUUAACACAUGCAAGUCGAACGGGAUCCAUGUUGUAGCAAUACUUCGGAAGAUCUAGUGGCGAACGGGUGAGGAACACGUGAGAAACCUGCCCCGGACUUCGGGAUAACAGUUGGAAACGAUUGCUAAUACCGAAUACCUCUGCGAAGUGGCAUCACUUUGCAAAGAAAGAAUUUCGGUCCGGGAGGGUCUCGCGGCCUAUCAGCUAGUUGGUGGGGUAACGGCCUACCAAGGCAUCGACGGGUAGCUGGUCUGAGAGGAUGAUCAGCCACACUGGGACUGAGACACGGCCCAGACUCCUACGGGAGGCAGCAGUGGGGAAUCUUGUGCAAUGGGCGAAAGCCUGACACAGCAACGCCGCGUGCGGGAAGAAGGCCUUCGGGUCGUAAACCGCUUUCAGCAGGAACGAAAAUGACGGUACCUGCAGAAGAAGGUGCGGCCAACUACGUGCCAGCAGCCGCGGUGACACGUAGGCACCAAGCGUUGUCCGGAUUUAUUGGGCGUAAAGAGCUCGUAGGCGGUUCAGCAAGUCGGGUGUGAAAACUCUGGGCUUAACCCAGAGCCUGCACUCGAAACUGCUGUGACUAGAGUUCGGUAGGGGAGCGGGGAAUUCCUGGUGUAGCGGUGAAAUGCGCAGAUAUCAGGAGGAACACCGGUGGCGAAGGCGCCGCUCUGGGCCGAAACUGACGCUGAGGAGCGAAAGCGUGGGUAGCAAACAGGAUUAGAUACCCUGGUAGUCCACGCCGUAAACGUUGGGCACUAGGUGUGGGUCUCUAACCAACGAGAUCCGCGCCGUCGCUAACGCAUUAAGUGCCCCGCCUGGGGAGUACGGUCGCAAGACUAAAACUCAAAGGAAUUGACGG
Molecule: ribosomal RNA, 901 nt
Filed under: uncultured Actinomycetes bacterium
Lineage: Bacteria; Bacillati; Actinomycetota; Actinomycetes
Description: bacterial SSU rRNA
Rfam family: Bacterial small subunit ribosomal RNA
Source: RNAcentral